This 467-nucleotide ribosomal RNA is filed under the name uncultured bacterium. RNAcentral describes it as "partial 16S ribosomal RNA". It matches the Rfam family "Bacterial small subunit ribosomal RNA", at positions 28 to 507 of the family's 1533-position model. The record is from RNAcentral.
GACGAACGCUGGCGGCGUGCUUAACACAUGCAAGUCGAACGGAAAGGCCCUGCUUUUGUGGGGUGCUCGAGUGGCGAACGGGUGAGUAACACGUGAGUAACCUGCCCUUGACUUUGGGAUAACUUCAGGAAACUGGGGCUAAUACCGGAUAGGAGCUCCUGCUGCAUGGUGGGGGUUGGAAAGUUUCGCGGUUGGGGAUGGACUCCCGGCUUAUCAGCUUGUUGGUGGGGUAGUGGCUUACCAAGGCUUUGACGGGUAGCCGGCCUGAGAGGGUGACCGGCCACAUUGGGACUGAGAUACGGCCCAGACUCCUACGGGAGGCAGCAGUGGGGAAUAUUGCACAAUGGGCGGAAGCCUGAUGCAGCAACGCCGCAUGCGGGAUGACGGCCUUCGGGUUGUAAACCGCUUUCGCCUGUGACGAAGCGUGAGUGACGGUAAUGGGUAAAGAAGCACCGGCUAACUACGUG